GAGUGGGGGUGGUCCAAGGCCCCAAGGCGCUGACCCCUUCCUCCAUCACCUCCCUGCUCCCCUUCUCCCCAGUCUCCCCCUCCUUCUGGAUCCAGAGCAUCAGCUUAGCAGUACUGUGGCCCCCAGGGCAUGACCGCAGGCAGGGCGGGGCCUUCCCCCCAAGCAGAGGAAGUACAGGGAGAGGGGCCCAGGGCCGGCAGAGGCACCAAGAACCCCCACGGUUGGAGCAGCUGAGGACCUGCCUCCUGAUGACGUCUGCGUGCUCCCAGGCCUGCCUUCGCCCUCUUCUCAUUUCCUGUGCAUCACAGAGGUGUCCAAGUUGGCAGGUGGCAGUGCCUUCCUUCUCUAAACACAGCUAGAUAUCUGAGCCCGUUCAUUUCCUGAGGAGCUGGGAAGGUUACAGUGCAUACAGUAUCAGAGACUAGGCCAUCCACCUCGGCCCGGGACAGUUUCUCCAUACACAGCAGAAUCAGGUAAACAGUUUAGCACUCUUAAUAUGUGUGUGCUCAUUUGUGUCCAACUCUUUGCAGCCCCAUGGACUGUAGCCCACCAGGCUCCUCUGCCCUUGGAAUUUUCCAGGCGAGAGUCCUGGAGUGCGUUGCCAUUUCCUACUCCAGGGGAUCUUCCCAACCCAGGGAUCAGGCGGAUUCUUUAUCACUAGUGCCCUUGAGGAGCCUGAUGAACAUGCG
RNAcentral lists this long non-coding RNA (689 nucleotides) under Capra hircus (goat). Its description in RNAcentral is "lncRNA (ENSCHIG00000000923.1)". The record is from RNAcentral. Lineage: Eukaryota; Metazoa; Chordata; Mammalia; Artiodactyla; Bovidae.